GGUCCUAGAGGGUGGAUGAGUUAGGAACAGGGUUAGAAGCAGGGAGGCCAGGAAGGAGGCUGAGCUAGUCCCAGGAAAGCCAUGGACACUCGCUGAAUUCCCAAAACUCAGUGGAACACCCCGUGGCGCGGAGGCAAGGCACAGGGAGGGAGGGAUGCGGGCCCAGCAGGUGCCUGAGGGACAUCCCGUGGAAGCCUUCCCUGGAUCACAAAGCUCAGAGGCCCAGCACGAAGAUGAGGCAGGAGAGAAAAACUCAAGAAUCUUCAUUGUGUAGCAGUCACUGAGCCUGUGGGCAGAGAGGGCUGGAAGGAGGCACCAGGAGGCCUAAGACAGGGUCCUGGAUGGAGGGACGGGCCCUGCCUUCUGCUGGGUGGCAGGUGUGCCAGGCACUGCGUGAGGGAAGCUGGGGGCAGGGGACAUGGUCAGGCUUGGAGGAUGGAAGUCAGGGGCUCAUCUGGAGCAUGUUAAAUUUGAAGGGCCCCUUGCUAUGUCCCCCAUAGGCUUAUGCAUUAGACAAUGCAAGAAUGAGAGCCUCAACCUGAUAAAUGGAUUAAUCAGCUGAUAUGGAGGAACUGGGCAGUGACUGUGGGCAGGUAGGGCAUGACCGGAGGAAGGAGGUCACGGGAGAUGUGCCUUUGGGGUUUACAUUUUGUCCCUGGUGAGCAGAGCUCCCUGUCUCUUUCUCUCUUCUUCUUCUUCCUGAUUGGCAUGUUCUGAGCUGGUUACGUCCGCCAAGCCUCCCGCCAUGAUGUCCUGGGCCCAGAGCGAUGGAGUCAGAUGUCUAGGGACCGAGACCUCUGAAACCAUGAGUCCCAAAGAAAAUGUUCCUCCUAUAAGAUAGUUCUUGUCUGAUCUUCCGGUCACAGUGGUGAAAGGCUGAUGUACACACUCCUACCCGUCCACGUGCAAAUGUCCAGAGGACAGUUGGACAUAAAGUCUGGGGGUCAGGCCUCGCUGGAAGCCAUCCACGCAAAACUUGCUGGGUUUCAAGUACAGGACUGGUCAAUCAAGAGUCCCAAGAAAGAAAAGACAGAGAUAGACAGAAAGGACAGGCAGACGGAGCCUCCGACUCUCUCAACAACACCUGGAAGAGACUCUUCAGCUUUCCUUUUCGGCCAUGAUGGAAAGACAUGGGAGGACAUGAAGAGGGCCACCCUGGGAACCGAGAACACUGAAACGCUUCAGAAUGUCCACAUAAGACGAGGACCACAGAGUGAAGCAUCCAUUAGCUGGUACAGUGGUGCACUCCCAUGGUCCUAGCUACUCGGAGACUGAGGCAGGAGGAUCCCAAGUUCAAGGCCAGCCUGGCAACUUAGUGAGACCCGGUCUCAAAAUAAAAAAAUAAAAGGAGGACUGGGGGAUGUAGCUGCGUGGGAGGGCUCCCCUGGGUUGAACCCCAGUACUGCAAAAAAAGGAAAAACACAAACUGCUUUCAGUGUGCACUAUGGAGGCCACCGAGUCUUGACGAGUAGGGGGUCUGCGUAGAGGACGCAGGUGGAGGGGGAAAUGGCGCUGCAAGGGCAAGGGCAAGUCUCCAGGCUUUUCUGCGUAGCGGGAAGAGAAACGGAGUCAGGAGGAAACUUCCUCCAAGACGGGAGAGAUCUGCGCACUCGCUGCAAAGAUCCAAGACUUUCUCCCAGUGUAGGCAUCCUUCAGAACCCAGAAGGCUCCUCCUGCAGACAGGAGUGGGUGGGAGGGAAGCAGAGGGAAGGCCCCCCACGGCCACCAUUCAUCCAUUCAGCAAGUCCCUAACACGCUUCCCACUUAAUCUCUAAUAACAGCUACGGCUGUGAGCCUGGCCCAGCGGAACAGCUUUUCAAGAGUGGACUAAUCCUGAGACUCCCCACAUGGAGCAUGUUGUCACCAGCUUCGUUUACGGCUUACAGACUUUGGAAGGUUACAGGUGUCUGAGCAAGAGUGGAGGGUGAGGGUGGGGGAGGAGCUGGGGUGGCCCCCCACACACAGCGGGAGAGUCCACAGGAUUGGGGGGGGACAGGAGCAGGAGGAGGAUGUGACUCGGGGCUCUGGCUGCAGCCCCAGUGGGAGGUGACACCCAGCGCCAGUGAGGACAGCAGAACCGGGUGCUACAGAGCCCGGGGCUGGGCUGGAGGCAACGGAGAGGAGCCUGAGGUCUUCACCCCUGGGGACUCAGCACUUAGGGAGCAGCUGCCCAGUGAGGAGGCACAGGAUGGGGCCCAGGAAAUGCAGAAAAGAAAGAGACUCGCCGGCCCUUUACACUGCCCUGGAGAAAGGGCUGAACAAUCUACCACGUGUCAUAAGCCCCAUAGUUUCCUGGAGGCAGAUGGUCUGGGUUCACUUCCCACCUCCCCUACUUACUUGCUGUGUGACCUGGGACAAGUCAUUUAACCUCUCUGAGCUGCGGUUUCCCUGCAUAUAAAACAGAGACCGUAAUAGUCCUCAUGACCAUCGCAGACACGCAUAAGGCACUUAGGACGUUUCUGGCAUGUAGUAGGCCCUGUGUAAGAAUUAGUCAUCCUCACGGCUGUGUUGUCUUGCUCUGCCCUCAGCACCUGCUGCCUUUAGAAAGGCCAGGGCCUCUGAGAUCCGCUUUACAGGCCCCACGGUGGAGGAGCCCAGAGAGGGAGCCGCUUACUGACGGGAUCCGAGAGGCUAAGGCCAGGAGGGGCCAUGUGGACUGGGCCUUGAAGGACGCCGAGGAGUGUCCAGGUCUCUGGAGUCGGAUUCACUGUCCCUCCGACCCAUGGUCAGUCCUGCUCUCGCCUGGUGUGCGGGGGCUCCUGUGUCCAUGCGGCCUCCACCCGUCCCUCCCUCGGCCUGCCCAGCCAGGUGAAGACGGCUCCGGAGGACUGUGGCAAGAUUUGAGCCAGGGGCUUGUCUACUGUGUCGGGGUGACAGGCCGAGGCGCAGGGACAGUCAGACAUGCAGGGACCAAGCCCAGCUUCCCAAAGGGGCGGGCGGGGUCCAGACUGCCCCACUCCUGCUCCCCACGAGCCUCGAACCUGGAACCUUCCAGCAGCCCGGGAUGAGGCAAGUGUGAAGCCCCUCCACCCAGGACCUGGUCCCCUGUCCACCCCCAGCUCCCAGCCCACAGGGAAGCACUGCAGAGCCCCGUCCUGUGUCCCCCGGGGGGCCGUGCCCUCCACCCAGCCCCAAUGCCCUUGUCCUCUUGUCUGUCCCUAAGAACUGAGAACUAAGGUGGGACAGCACAAGGGACUGGGGGACUUAGGCCCAUGUCCCUCGUCCAGAGGGAGGGGCGGGAGAGAGAGGGGAGGGAGGAGGGGUCUUUCUUCCCCUCCAGUUAUUUCUUUCUGCUCAGGAUCUCUGUUCAGCCCCCAGUACACACAGCCCCGGGGGAGGGGUGUCAGAUGGACAGAGCUUUCGGACAAAGCCCGUCAGACAGGCUGACAAGAUGCACGGGGCAGCCCGAGCAGGGUCCCCAAGUGCUGUUGAGGAAUGAAUAAGCGAGAAGAGAACGGAAUCCACAAAGGCGCCCAUGGAGAAAGGAGAGAUGCACAGAUACAAAAAGAGAUGGUGGGGCUGGGCAUGUGGCUCAAGCGGUUGCGCGCUCACCUGGCAUGCGUGCGGCCCGGGUUCGAUCCUCUGCACCACAUACCAACAAAGAUGUU
Non-coding RNA from Ictidomys tridecemlineatus (thirteen-lined ground squirrel), 3608 nucleotides. Lineage: Eukaryota; Metazoa; Chordata; Mammalia; Rodentia; Sciuridae. The record is from RefSeq and is a predicted model, not a curated record.